CCCUUAGACGUUCUGGGCCGCACGCGCGCUACCCUGACCAGUGCAACAAGCAUCCGUCCUUGGCCGACAGGCCCGGGCAAUCUUUGAACGCUGGUCGUGAUGGGGAUAGACUUUUGCAAUUUUUGGUCUUCAACGAGGAAUUCCUAGUAAACGCAAGUCAUCAACUUGCAUUGAUUACGUCCCUGCCCUUUGUACACACCGCCCGUCGCACCUACCGAUUGAAUGGUCCGGUGAAGCCUCCGGAUUGGCGCGCACCUCGGUGCCGCCGAGAAGUUGGCUAAACCUUACCAUUUAGAGGAAGGUGAAGUCGUAACA
RNAcentral lists this ribosomal RNA (315 nucleotides) under uncultured eukaryote. RNAcentral's name for it is "partial 18S ribosomal RNA". It matches the Rfam family "Eukaryotic small subunit ribosomal RNA", at positions 1470 to 1796 of the family's 1831-position model. The record is from RNAcentral.